RNAcentral lists this ribosomal RNA (1369 nucleotides) under uncultured bacterium. RNAcentral's name for it is "bacterial SSU rRNA". It matches the Rfam family "Bacterial small subunit ribosomal RNA", at positions 28 to 1381 of the family's 1533-position model. The record is from RNAcentral.
GACGAACGCUGGCGGCGUGCCUAAUACAUGCAAGUAGAACGCUGAAGAGAGGAGCUUGCUCUUCUUGGAUGAGUUGCGAACGGGUGAGUAACGCGUAGGUAACCUGCCUUGUAGCGGGGGAUAACUAUUGGAAACGAUAGCUAAUACCGCAUAACAAUGGAUGACACAUGUCAUUUAUUUGAAAGGGGCAAUUGCUCCACUACAAGAUGGACCUGCGUUGUAUUAGCUAGUAGGUGAGGUAACGGCUCACCUAGGCGACGAUACAUAGCCGACCUGAGAGGGUGAUCGGCCACACUGGGACUGAGACACGGCCCAGACUCCUACGGGAGGCAGCAGUAGGGAAUCUUCGGCAAUGGGGGCAACCCUGACCGAGCAACGCCGCGUGAGUGAAGAAGGUUUUCGGAUCGUAAAGCUCUGUUGUAAGUCAAGAACGAGUGUGAGAGUGGAAAGUUCACACUGUGACGGUAGCUUACCAGAAAGGGACGGCUAACUACGUGCCAGCAGCCGCGGUAAUACGUAGGUCCCGAGCGUUGUCCGGAUUUAUUGGGCGUAAAGCGAGCGCAGGCGGUUUGAUAAGUCUGAAGUUAAAGGCUGUGGCUCAACCAUAGUUCGCUUUGGAAACUGUCAAACUUGAGUGCAGAAGGGGAGAGUGGAAUUCCAUGUGUAGCGGUGAAAUGCGUAGAUAUAUGGAGGAACACCGGUGGCGAAAGCGGCUCUCUGGUCUGUAACUGACGCUGAGGCUCGAAAGCGUGGGGAGCGAACAGGAUUAGAUACCCUGGUAGUCCACGCCGUAAACGAUGAGUGCUAGGUGUUGGAUCCUUUCCGGGAUUCAGUGCCGCAGCUAACGCAUUAAGCACUCCGCCUGGGGAGUACGACCGCAAGGUUGAAACUCAAAGGAAUUGACGGGGGCCCGCACAAGCGGUGGAGCAUGUGGUUUAAUUCGAAGCAACGCGAAGAACCUUACCAGGUCUUGACAUCCCGAUGCUAUUUCUAGAGAUAGAAAGUUACUUCGGUACAUCGGUGACAGGUGGUGCAUGGUUGUCGUCAGCUCGUGUCGUGAGAUGUUGGGUUAAGUCCCGCAACGAGCGCAACCCCUAUUGUUAGUUGCCAUCAUUCAGUUGGGCACUCUAGCGAGACUGCCGGUAAUAAACCGGAGGAAGGUGGGGAUGACGUCAAAUCAUCAUGCCCCUUAUGACCUGGGCUACACACGUGCUACAAUGGUUGGUACAACGAGUUGCGAGUCGGUGACGGCAAGCUAAUCUCUUAAAGCCAAUCUCAGUUCGGAUUGUAGGCUGCAACUCGCCUACAAGAAGUCGGAAUCGCUAGUAAUCGCGGAUCAGCACGCCGCGGUGAAUACGUUCCCGGGCCU